UUAAAAAAUAUGCCUAAUCGAAAGAGCGGGGGAUAUCUUUGGGGUGAAUCCGCGUAUGCGGUAGGGUUUCUCUUUACCGAACCCGUCAACUAACCUCGUAGGCAUAAAGAGAGGAUGA
Molecule: small RNA, 118 nt
Filed under: Thermoanaerobacterium saccharolyticum
Lineage: Bacteria; Bacillati; Bacillota; Clostridia; Thermoanaerobacterales; Thermoanaerobacteraceae
Description: c-di-AMP sequence
Rfam family: c-di-AMP riboswitch aptamer (ydaO/yuaA leader)
About the family: This family represents a conserved RNA structure found upstream of the ydaO and yuaA genes in Bacillus subtilis and related genes in other bacteria. The ydaO/yuaA element is thought to act as a genetic "off" switch for the ydaO and yuaA genes in its native state.
Source: RNAcentral